Long non-coding RNA from Triticum aestivum (bread wheat), 1091 nucleotides. RefSeq lists it as uncharacterized. NCBI's taxonomy places the organism in Eukaryota, Viridiplantae, Streptophyta, Magnoliopsida, Poales, Poaceae. The transcript has 3 exons. The record is from RefSeq and is a predicted model, not a curated record.
ACCACCUCCUAGCGAUUCUAUAGGCUGCAAAAGGAAAAACCUACCAUACUCCUACCAGGGCGCACAACUCUCCUAGGUCAAACACGUCGGCGGAGAUGAUGGAGACAUAUGGCAGGCGCACCCGUGGAUUUCGAGGAUCCUGACUGGCCGGCCAUUGGGAAGGAACGAAGCGCACAAGAUCGAGCACCGAGCAAGGCGCUGCUGCUGCCCCUGCCGCCAUCCAUCAUCUGCCGCAGUGGGUCAUCGUUAGAAGGCUAGGGCAAAUCUCCCGCAUAUUCCUCUUUGCAAGAUACAAAAAUUGUUACUUACAUUGUGCGGUGACCAAGGACGAAUGCAUAGCAUAGUGAUGAUUGAUGCUUGAUAUGGUACCAAGUUAUCUAGCACCUUACGGGCUGUAUUAUAGGGCAACAAAGACAAGCAGCAAUCCAACUUCUAAGUAAUUUGAUGGAGUCACCGCAGCAAUGUCGUACACACGGGAAGACUCAAGACGUGUCACAUGUAUCUGACAGUAGGUACGUUCAAAUAGAAAACUCAGAGUUUACAAUGGAAGCAUGUGAGGCAUUAUAUGGCGAUGAACUAGACAUCACCGGCCAGGGGCCUGCCGGGAUGAGGUUGUCUAAGUCAUAAAUAUGUUGUAUCUUAUUUGGCUAUUAAAUACCAUUGUAAGUCUCCCACAAAAAAAAUAUACCACUGUAAGUCACAAACAUACAGGCUACUAAUCCAGGUCCCCUCAAUUUCUUUCCAGAUUUGUUACUUACACUUUGUCGCAAGCAAGGAAGAAUACAUAAAAUCUGGAUGAUCGAUGCUUGAUGACGUUCUGUGUUUGUAAAUAAUGUUAGAUACAGAAGAUAUUAGAUACAGAUAAAAUCAAAAUUAAAAGUUGUAUAAAGCCAAUGGUCAACACUUAUUCAGGCUUUCGAUUUUCAUAUGUACUCUGAACAGCUGAAAACUUGGGAGGAUAUAAAUGUAUGUCCAAAGAACAAUUACUACAAAAUGUAAAAUAUGCAGCGCUCAUCACGUUUUUCAAUAAGAUGCAACAUAUUGUCACUUAGUCUGUACAUAAACAUGAAAGAACAUUUGUCAGCUAAGAC